UUAAGCGACUAAGCGUACACGGUGGAUGCCCUGGCAGUCAGAGGCGAUGAAGGACGUGCUAAUCUGCGAAAAGCGCCGGCGAGGUGAUAUGAACCUUUGACCCGGCGAUGUCCGAAUGGGGAAACCCAGUGCAAUCCGUUGCACUAUCGUUAACUGAAUACAUAGGUUAACGAGGCGAACCGGGGGAACUGAAACAUCUAAGUACCCCGAGGAAAAGAAAUCAACCGAGAUUCCCCCAGUAGCGGCGAGCGAACGGGGAGCAGCCCGGAGUCUGAAUCAGCUUGUGUGUUAGUGGAACGGUCUGGAAAGUCCGACGGUACAGGGUGAUAGUCCCGUACACGAAAGCACACUUGCUGUGAACUCGAAGAGUAGGGCGGGACACGUGGUAUCCUGUCUGAAUAUGGGGGGACCAUCCUCCAAGGCUAAAUACUCCUGACUGACCGAUAGUGAACCAGUACCGUGAGGGAAAGGCGAAAAGAACCCCGGCGAGGGGAGUGAAAAAGAACCUGAAACCGUGUACGUACAAGCAGUGGGAGCCUCUUUAUGGGGUGACUGCGUACCUUUUGUAUAAUGGGUCAGCGACUUAUAUUCUGUAGCAAGGUUAACCGUAUAGGGGAGCCGAAGGGAAACCGAGUCUUAACUGGGCGUUAAGUUGCAGGGUAUAGACCCGAAACCCGGUGAUCUAGCCAUGGGCAGGUUGAAGGUUGGGUAACACUAACUGGAGGACCGAACCGACUAAUGUUGAAAAAUUAGCGGAUGACCUGUGGCUGGGGGUGAAAGGCCAAUCAAACCGGGAGAUAGCUGGUUCUCCCCGAAAGCUAUUUAGGUAGCGCCUCGUGAACUCAUCUUCGGGGGUAGAGCACUGUUUCGGCUAGGGGGCCAUCCCGGCUUACCAACCCGAUGCAAACUACGAAUACCGAAGAAUGUUAUCACGGGAGACACACGGCGGGUGCUAACGUCCGUCGUGAAGAGGGAAACAACCCAGACCGCCAGCUAAGGUCCCAAAGUCAUGGUUAAGUGGGAAACGAUGUGGGAAGGCACAGACAGCCAGGAUGUUGGCUUAGAAGCAGCCAUCAUUUAAAGAAAGCGUAAUAGCUCACUGGUCGAGUCGGCCUGCGCGGAAGAUGUAACGGGGCUAAACCAUGCACCGAAGCUGCGGCAGCGACACUAUGUGUUGUUGGGUAGGGGAGCGUUCUGUAAGCCGUUGAAGGUGUGCUGUGAGGCAUGCUGGAGGUAUCAGAAGUGCGAAUGCUGACAUAAGUAACGAUAAAGCGGGUGAAAAGCCCGCUCGCCGGAAGACCAAGGGUUCCUGUCCAACGUUAAUCGGGGCAGGGUGAGUCGACCCCUAAGGCGAGGCCGAAAGGCGUAGUCGAUGGGAAACAGGUUAAUAUUCCUGUACUUGGUGUUACUGCGAAGGGGGGACGGAGAAGGCUAUGUCAGCCGGGCGACGGUUGUCCCGGUUUAAGCAUGUAGGCGGAGGUUCCAGGUAAAUCCGGUACCUUUUAACGCUGAGGUGUGAUGACGAGGCACUACGGUGCUGAAGUGAUAAAUGCCCUGCUUCCAGGAAAAGCCUCUAAGCAUCAGGUAACACGAAAUCGUACCCCAAACCGACACAGGUGGUCAGGUAGAGAAUACCAAGGCGCUUGAGAGAACUCGGGUGAAGGAACUAGGCAAAAUGGUGCCGUAACUUCGGGAGAAGGCACGCUGAUNGGCCGGGAACUCAAAGGAGACUGCCAGUGAUAAACUGGAGGAAGGUGGGGAUGACGUCAAGUCAUCAUGGCCCUUACGAGUAGGGCUACACACGUGCUACAAUGGCGCAUACAAAGAGAAGCGACCUCGCGAGAGCAAGCGGACCUCAUAAAGUACGUCGUAGUCCGGAUUGGAGUCUGCAACUCGACUCCAUGAAGUCGGAAUCGCUAGUAAUCGUGGAUCAGAAUGCCACGGUGAAUACGUUCCCGGGCCUUGUACACACCGCCCGUCACACCAUGGGAGUGGGUUGCAAAAGAAGUAGGUAGCUUAACCUUCGGGAGGGCGCUUACCACUUUGUGAUUCAUGACUGGGGUGAAGUCGUAACAAGGUAACCGUAGGGGAACCUGCGGUUGGAUCACCUCCUUACCUUAAAGAACCUGCCUUUGUAGUGUCCACACAGAUUGUCUGAUGAAAAGUAAAUAGCAAGGCGUCUUGCGAUUGAGACUGUACGUCCCCUUCGUCUAGAGGCCCAGGACACCGCCCUUUCACGGCGGUAACAGGGGUUCGAAUCCCCUAGGGGACGCCACUUGCUGGUUCGUGAGUGAAAGUCACCUGCCGUCAUAUCUCAAAACUGACUUGCGAGUCAUGUUUGAGAUAUUUGCUCUUUAAAAAUCUGGAUCAAGCUGAAAAUUGAAACGACACACAGCUCAUGUGUGUUCGAGUCUCUCAAAUUUUCGCAAUCAGAAGUGAAACAUCUUCGGGUUGUGAGG
Molecule: ribosomal RNA, 2459 nt
Filed under: Enterobacter sp. MGH 10
Lineage: Bacteria; Pseudomonadati; Pseudomonadota; Gammaproteobacteria; Enterobacterales; Enterobacteriaceae
Description: bacterial LSU rRNA
Rfam family: Bacterial large subunit ribosomal RNA (bases 1-2024)
Source: RNAcentral